GAGAGCGAAGAGAAGAGAGAUGAAGAAUACAAGUACGCAUGCGUCCAUGUUUGAAGAUAUAUAGAUUGUGUAGAUGCUGCUGGAGGGAAGAACGGAGCCAUACGUCAGAAGAAUAUUAGUAUAUGCGUGUUCGUCAGAUUCUAUACAAAGAUGAUGGAGUAUUGGAGUUUCAUCUUCUGGCAGAAUAUUAUUAUAAAGGACAAAUCAUAUUAUCCGAGGCAAGUGGUUACUUUGCUAACUCCUUAAAUCCUAUCUUAUUGUUGUCUCCUGUGAUCAUCGUUCUGAUUAUGUUGCUAGACCUUGAAUCUUAUUUAUCCUCUGUUGAUUCCUGUUUUAUUUGAGGACAUGUUGUCCUUGAUAAUUCAUUUGUUGAAGGACAUGUUGUCCUUGAUGAUCCAUUUGUUGAUGGAAAGUCUGAUAUGAGAGGAACUCAUGUAAAGGCAUGGGUUUAUUGUCUUGGCUGAUAUUUCAGUGAUCCUAUAUAGCUGAUCCAGCCACAUGUCAUAUUCUGUCCAUCUAUAUUGGUGUCACGACGGCAAACGUAUUGUACCGGUCACAGUUCAGGUAUGGGACUGUCUGAGUUCUCCGCUAAGGACGGACCUUGUUCGGGAACAUGUCGGUGAUGGAUCCGUAGGAGCGAUCGACAUCAGUAUGUCCAGGUGUCCGAGUCUUAGUGAGCACUAGAGCUCUGCUCUACUAGAGCCUGCGUGGUUCUAGUCGAGGCUGUCGACGUCGGAGUACCCCUCUUAAGAGCGUAAAAGUGUGAAAUUUCACCCCUGUGACUCCCGGGUUAGGAAGCUUGCGGUCAUGUGUGACGCCAAUAAUUUCUUGGUCCAUUUUCAUUAUAUCCGGUUAUGUUGUUCUUUUACCUAUUUUCAAUUAAAUUGGCUCCAACAAUUUGUCACGUUAUUUAUGCUCCUUUAGAUAUAGUCAACCUGUUGUUACUGUAUCAAUAUCCUUAAAUUCUACUCUUGUUGAAUAGUGAAGUACCUACUUGCUGAGUAUGACUUGUCGUACUCACCCUUGCUUUCUCUGUUGUUUUCUAGAUGCAGACAAUGUAACUUAAGCAUGCCGAGAAGAUGUCGUCGAAUAAUAGGUUGGACCAAUGGGUGGGAAACGACUAGAAAAUAUCAUUUUUUUUGGCUAUCUGUAAAUGUAAAGGAAUUUGUAUAGUUAAUAUAUGAGCUUUUGUGAUCCAC
RNAcentral lists this long non-coding RNA (1199 nucleotides) under Triticum aestivum (bread wheat). RNAcentral's name for it is "long non-coding RNA (TAES_LNC026086)". Lineage: Eukaryota; Viridiplantae; Streptophyta; Magnoliopsida; Poales; Poaceae. The record is from RNAcentral.